Molecule: unclassified non-coding RNA, 328 nt
Filed under: plant metagenome
Description: partial contains 5.8S ribosomal RNA, internal transcribed spacer 2, and large subunit ribosomal RNA
Rfam family: 5.8S ribosomal RNA (bases 1-104)
Source: RNAcentral
GAAAUGCGAUAAGUAAUGUGAAUUGCAGAAUUCCGUGAAUCAUCGAAUCUUUGAACGCACAUUGCGCCCUCUGGUAUUCCGGGGGCAUGCCUGUCCGAGCGUCAUUGCGAACCCCUCAAGCACGGCUUGUGUGAUGGGCCCUCCCGCGUCUUGGUCGUCAAGACGGGCCCGAAAUGCAGUGGCGGCUUCGCGGUUAUCCGAUCAGCCAGAGCGUAUGGGGACUUUCUCUCUGUCACACGCCCGCGGCGCGGACCGACGCCUGUCGACCUUCAUUCAUCGUUUUCUCGGUUGACCUCGGAUCGGGUAGGGAUACCCGCUGAACUUAAGC